UGAUAUUCCUGUACCACCUAUAAUCGUUUUAAUCGAUGGGGGGACGCAGUAGGAUAGGCGAAGCGUGCGAUUGGAUUGCACGUCUAAGCAGUAAGGCUGAGUAUUAGGCAAAUCCGGUACUCGUUAAGGCUGAGCUGUGAUGGGGAGAAGACAUUGUGUCUUCGAGUCGUUGAUUUCACACUGCCGAGAAAAGCCUCUAGAUAGAAAAUAGGUGCCCGUACCGCAAACCGACACAGGUAGUCAAGAUGAGAAUUCUAAGGUGAGCGAGCGAACUCUCGUUAAGGAACUCGGCAAAAUGACCCCGUAACUUCGGGAGAAGGGGUGCUCUUUAGGGUUAACGCCCAGAAGAGCCGCAGUGAAUAGGCCCAAGCGACUGUUUAUCAAAAACACAGGUCUCUGCUAAACCGUAAGGUGAUGUAUAGGGGCUGACGCCUGCCCGGUGCUGGAAGGUUAAGAGGAGUGGUUAGCUUCUGCGAAGCUACGAAUCGAAGCCCCAGUAAACGGCGGCCGUAACUAUAACGGUCCUAAGGUAGCGAAAUUCCUUGUCGGGUAAGUUCCGACCCGCACGAAAGGCGUAACGAUUUGGGCACUGUCUCAACGAGAGACUCGGUGAAAUCAUAGUACCUGUGAAGAUGCAGGUUACCCGCGACAGGACGGAAAGACCCCGUGGAGCUUUACUGUAGCCUGAUAUUGAAAUUCGGCACAGCUUGUACAGGAUAGGUAGGAGCCUUUGAAACGUGAGCGCUAGCUUACGUGGAGGCGCUGGUGGGAUACUACCCUAGCUGUGUUGGCUUUCUAACCCGCACCACUUAUCGUGGUGGGAGACAGUGUCAGGCGGGCAGUUUGACUGGGGCGGUCGCCUCCUAAAAGGUAACGGAGGCGCUCAAAGGUUCCCUCAGAAUGGUUGGAAAUCAUUCAUAGAGUGUAAAGGCAUAAGGGAGCUUGACUGCGAGACCUACAAGUCGAGCAGGGUCGAAAGACGGACUUAGUGAUCCGGUGGUUCCGCAUGGAAGGGCCAUCGCUCAACGGAUAAAAGCUACCCCGGGGAUAACAGGCUUAUCUCCCCCAAGAGUUCACAUCGACGGGGAGGUUUGGCACCUCGAUGUCGGCUCAUCGCAUCCUGGGGCUGUAGUCGGUCCCAAGGGUUGGGCUGUUCGCCCAUUAAAGCGGUACGCGAGCUGGGUUCAGAACGUCGUGAGACAGUUCGGUCCCUAUCCGUCGUGGGCGUAGGAAAUUUGAGAGGAGCUGUCCUUAGUACGAGAGGACCGGGAUGGACAUACCUCUGGUGUACCAGUUGUCGUGCCAACGGCAUAGCUGGGUAGCUAUGUGUGGACGGGAUAAGUGCUGAAAGCAUCUAAGCAUGAAGCCCCCCUCAAGAUGAGAUUUCCCAACUUCGGUUAUAAGAUCCCUCAAAGAUGAUGAGGUUAAUAGGUUCGAGGUGGAAGCAUGGUGACAUGUGGAGCUGACGAAUACUAAUCGAUCGAAGACUUAAUCAA
Molecule: ribosomal RNA, 1496 nt
Filed under: Staphylococcus aureus
Lineage: Bacteria; Bacillati; Bacillota; Bacilli; Caryophanales; Staphylococcaceae
Description: partial 23S ribosomal RNA
Rfam family: Bacterial large subunit ribosomal RNA
Source: RNAcentral